AGCGAACGCUGGCGGCAGGCCUAACACAUGCAAGUCGAACGAACUCUUCGGAGUUAGUGGCGGACGGGUGAGGAACACGUGGGAACGUGCCUUUUGGUUCGGAAUAACUCAGGGAAACAUGUGCUAAUACCGAAUGUGCCCUUCGGGGGAAAGAGUUAUCGCCAUUAGAGCGGCCCGCGUCUGAUUAGCUAGUUGGUGAGGUAACGGCUCACCAAGGCGACGAUCAGUAGCUGGUCUGGGAGGAUGACCAGCCACACUUGGACUGCGACACGGCCCAGACUCCUACGGGAGGCAGCAGUGGGGAAUCUUACGCAAUGGGCGAAAGCCUGACGCAGCCAUGCCGCGUGAAUGAUGAAGGUCUUAGGAUUGUAAAAUUCUUUCACCGGGGACGAUAAUGACGGUACCCGGUGAAGAAGCCCCGGCUAACUUCGUG
Molecule: ribosomal RNA, 433 nt
Filed under: uncultured bacterium
Lineage: Bacteria
Description: partial 16S ribosomal RNA
Rfam family: Bacterial small subunit ribosomal RNA
Source: RNAcentral